UAGCCGUUCAACGAGAACAUACACAUGAUUCAGGACACGUGAAUCAAGCAAACGAUCAAGGAAAAGACAAUACCAGUAGCAGAAUUAAUCUGAAGGCCAGCGCAGGAAACAUCAGCUACACCACGUUACAAAUGUAUGAGAACACAACGUUCAGAGAGCCAUACGAGCCUAUGCAGAUGGCGGGAGAUUCUUAAGCAUGUCAUAAUAUGUAUGUAUUUUUUUAAUUGUUUAAUUGUGUUGCAACCAUAUGAUUGUUCAGCUUUACUAUGAUUUACCAAACUCUGAAUUUUGCUCAGUUUCAGUUGUUGUUGUUUUUUUUAGACAAAACUAUGCCCAUAUGAGUAUCAGUUGUAAUAACAAUGUUCAAAGAGGCUUAAACAAACAGAAUCAUGAGUAAAACCAAUUGAAUAUGCUUUGAAAACUGAUAGAUGGAACCAGAUCUGCAUCAACUUAAAUCAUUAAAAUGUACACACA
Long non-coding RNA from Mya arenaria, 474 nucleotides. RefSeq lists it as uncharacterized. The record is from RefSeq and is a predicted model, not a curated record. The transcript has 3 exons. NCBI's taxonomy places the organism in Eukaryota, Metazoa, Mollusca, Bivalvia, Myida, Myidae.